AACGAACGCUGGCGGCAUGCCUAACACAUGCAAGUCGAACGAUACCUUCGGGUCUAGUGGCGCACGGGUGCGUAACGCGUGGGAACCUGCGCUUAGGUUCGGAAUAACUCCCCGAAAGGGGUGCUAAUACCGGAUAAUGUCUUCGGACCAAGGCUUUCUCGCCUUUGGAUGGGCCCGCGUUGGAUUAGCUCGUUGGUAGGGUAAAAGCCUACCAAGGCGACGAGCCAUAGCUGGUCUGCGAGGAGGCCCAGCCGCACUGGGACUGAGACAAGGCCCCGACGCGUGGCAGAAGCAGGGGAGAGUGAUAUUUGGCAGCGGGCGAGAGGCAGAGCCGGCGAGGGCGGGAGGGUGGCGAAGGGCUUAGGAUCGGAUAGCAGCAGGGACCGGGAUGAUAAUGACGGUACCGGGAGAAGAAGCACCGGCUAACUCCGUG
This 433-nucleotide ribosomal RNA is filed under the name uncultured bacterium. RNAcentral's name for it is "partial 16S ribosomal RNA". It matches the Rfam family "Bacterial small subunit ribosomal RNA", at positions 28 to 507 of the family's 1533-position model. The record is from RNAcentral.